AUUUUGAACUUCUGACAUGUUUGUAUUUUUAAUAAAAUAUCUUAUUUCUUUUUCUCUUUAUUGCUCGUGUUUUCUGGAGGAAAGGAAAGUUAUAUAGUGUAGUAGGGCUAGUAGAUAAUCUUCUCUAUUGGUGAACAAAUAAUUUAGUGUAGUAUUACUUAUUGAUAAUUUGGUGAAUAAAUAAUAUGUUGGAAGUCCCUGUGGUAGCUCAUAGUUCUUUUUAAAAGAACUAAAACCCUAAACCUCUCGCUGCGGCGUUUUCCUCGGUGAACGGCGGCUGCCGCGUCUUCCUCUCCAUCGGCGAAACAGCGUCUCCGCCCCCCCGAGUGGGAUUACCAAGCAGUAGGGAGUUAUUUGAUGCUAAAUUGGAGAAUAAAACUUACAGGAUUAUUACUCGAGUUUAGGAAAGAUUCCCAAAAAACAUUGCUACCAGUUGUCCAAAAGCCUGAUGGGAAGAAAAAUUUGAUGGUUUGUGAUCAGAUUUCUGUAAACAAUUUCUGCUGCUAAAUAGAUCUCUAGGUCUUUGUUUAUCUGUUAUAUCUCCACUGACUACUCUAUGUUAUAUUUGAUAUUACUGAUUCUGAGGUAUCAAAUUUAGUUUAAUAUUUAAUUUUUAAAGAAGAAUGGAGUGAUUUUGCUUAAUAAAGCUCCAACAAGUCACAUAUGUAGUACCUGGUACUGAAGACUUUGACCACACUGAUAUCUCUGAAUUUGUUCAGAAAGCUCCGGGUCUCUUAGUAAGUUUCAGAAAAUUAGAACUUGGAGACAGUGACAGUGACAGCUGAGGAAUUAGAUGUGGUACCUAUUUUGCAGAAUCAACUUUCCAUGCUUGAACACUGCUAAUCUUUCAUUUUCUUCAGAUUAUAUAUGACAGCAAGGAAUCUCUUGAAAGCUACUGUUCCCAUCUCUUGUUGUCUAGACAUGACAUAUAUUUUAAUGUGGUUGAUGGCAAGGGAUAUUCUUCUCUAUACGGUCUUCGAUGACGAUGGCUUGAUUUAGCUUGCUUCCAUCCUUAUUGUCAUCGUUCCGUCGUAAGUUAUUGAUCCUUGGUCCAAAGAUGGUUUGGUACAGGGAUUCUUUGGGAAAGAUUCUUUUGGUCUAUUUCGUGACCGCCCCUUCCUCGACGAUGGUGGAAAACUUGCCGUAGACACCAUCAUCAGCAUAGAUUCCUUGGUAGAGGCUAAAAAUGAAGGUGCCAAUUGACAAGGAGGGUUUUCUAUAGUUGCAUCGAUGGUGAUCUCAUGUUUUUGCUUGUUUCCUAUCCUACGGUGGCCAUUCUAUUGCAAAUUCUUGAUCCUUGGUGCAGAGAAGUGUCAGUUCAUGGAUUCUUUUGAAUAGAUUCUUUUGGUCACAGAUUUUCAUAGCAAGCUCUGCUGCUGCCUAGCUUGCAAUGAAGAUGGCAAUUGACAAGGAGGUUUUUUUUCUCUCAUUAGGCCAGUGAUGCUUUGUCUUUCUUCCAGCCCUUUCAUUGCUGUUGGAUCACAGAUUCUUGAUCUCUUGGUCCAGAGGAGAAGAGUUGGUAGGUUGGUUCUUUGGGACAUGGAGUGUUCCUUUGCCACAUGAUGGAUUUCUGCCCAUUGGCGAGGAAAUCUUCUGUCAAUUGCAUAAUUGCGUUGAUAAAGGAACCUGAGGUGUAGUAGAUUAUUUGGUCAUAGUGUGUUGCUAUGAUCCUGCUGUUUGUGCUUCUUAUGGAAUGAAGAAGAGAUAAUUGGAUUGGUUGCCGAUAAGUGGCUGAGAAAGUUUAUUCAUUAGUGUUUGAUAAAUCCAGCUAAUCUGUUUGUAAUAUUAUGAUCAGCUUAGUGAGUGUGGGAAGUUCUUUAUGGCAAGCCAAGGCAGGCACUGACCCCAGCCAGUAAAUGAAUGUGAUAUUUAUUCAGGAUCAAAUGACAAGGAUGACCUCUGGUAUUAAUUAGCAUCAAUGUCAUCGUGGAAGGAGGUGGCAUCUUUUAUUACAAUAUGCAGCAUCAAGUGCCAGGCAAAUCAGGUGUGGGUGAUGAUUUAGGUGUACACUAUGUCUUGCGAUUGUUGUAAAAAUUUUGCACAAAAUUCCCACCCAGCAUGGUCUUGCACGCAUAGAGGACCAUCCGGAGUACCUAAUGGAGGCAGUUAAAGAAGCUGUGACUUUAAUAGGUCCUGUUAAUGGCUAUGCAGAGCUCAGAUUUUGAUGGUAACUGAGAUUGGUUGUGAGAUAAGUAUAUAAUUUACAGGCAUGACAGAGUAUGCAUGUCAGAACGGUCGUAUGAUGUGGUGUGCAGAUGUUUAUGGUGUUUUUGCUUAUUGGAAGGGUUGAAGGAAAGCUAGUAUUAUUUUAGUUGACCGGACCCGUAGCGAGUCCGAUCAUCGAUCGUCAGAAUAAAGUUGCUCGACUCGGGCGAUUUUGCGAAAAUAUAUAUAUAUACA
Molecule: long non-coding RNA, 2400 nt
Organism: Musa acuminata AAA Group (dessert banana)
Lineage: Eukaryota; Viridiplantae; Streptophyta; Magnoliopsida; Zingiberales; Musaceae
Exons: 5
Source: RefSeq, a predicted model, not a curated record